This 951-nucleotide long non-coding RNA is filed under the name Olea europaea (common olive). RNAcentral's name for it is "long non-coding RNA (OEUR_LNC001307)". The record is from RNAcentral. Lineage: Eukaryota; Viridiplantae; Streptophyta; Magnoliopsida; Lamiales; Oleaceae.
UUGGAUCACAAUUUACAACCUCUAAUAAAAAUUUGUGACUUUAACAAAAUAGAUCACAACAGCAUAUCAAUCAUACAUGACAUGAGGUCACAGUCACAAAGACAUAAAUUUUUAGUCACAUUUAUAAAUUUAGUCGCAAAUCACAAUUUUUUUCAAGUCAUAUAUUAUUUUUCGAUCACAUUUUAUCUAUUUUAUUGGUGACAAUUACCUAAAUAAUUGGUCAAAAAUGCUCUUCAUCCUACCCACGACCAUUGACAUCAUUCAAAUGUCGUUGCAACCUCACGAUCACCAUCACUGUUGCAUCAGCAUCUCACCACCACCUGGGAGAUCUGUAUAUCGUACCAUCACCAUAUGGAUUUGUACAUCCAUAGCACCAUCACCACGCAGAUUCACAACCCAUCAUUACACAAACAACACCAAACUAAUGUUAUGUGGGUAAUAAUUGAGCAAAGAGAAGAAUUAGAUCAACCAAAGAAAGGGAGAAGAAACAACAAUGGGAAAAAGAAAUCAGCAAAACCAGAAAUAAAGGAAGAAGAAGGCAACGGACUUAGCUGAUUUCGAAUUCAAAAUUGGUGUCGUGGUAACUUAUCAAAACGGGGUUAUUUUACUUUAAUUAAUUGUAAUAAGCUAGAAACGUUUUUACAUUUUACCGGCUGAAAACAUGCUUCUUACUGGUAGCAUAUCUAUCUCCAUGUGAGAAGGAGAAAUCAGCUUUUGUAAUAUGAUCAUUUCAAUAAAAUUUGUUGAAAUCAUUCAACAGCUUUUCUCAUCUCCUUCUUCUGAUUUUCUCUUUUACCCUCUCCCAAUUCUAUUUUCAUUUCAAUUUGGUUAUCAUUUCAGUUGAUUAUUGCUGGAACAUUCCGUUGUUGAAGAUACUGUUGCAAUGAUAAUCAAAAUUGAGUUCUAAUCGUGACAAAUUGGUAUCAAAGCGGGUGUACACUACUAGGCAAU